GACGAACGCUGGCGGCGUGCUUAACACAUGCAAGUCGAACGGUGAAGCGCCUUCCUUUUUGGUGGGUGUGGAUGAGUGGCGAACGGGUGAGUAACACGUGAGUAACCUUCCCCCUUCUUCUGGAUAACCGCAUGAAAGUGUGGCUAAUACGGGGUAUUCUGGGUCUGUCGCAUGAUGGGUCUGGGGAAGAUAUUGUUUCGGGGGGGGGUGGGCUCGCGGCCUAUCAGCUUGUUGGUGGGGUGAUGGCCUACCAAGGCGGUGACGGGUAGCCGGCCUGAGAGGGUGGACGGUCACACUGGGACUGAGACACGGCCCAGACUCCUACGGGAGGCAGCAGUGGGGAAUAGUGCACAAUGGGCGCAAGCCUGAUGCAGCGACGCCGCGUGAGGGAUGGAGGCCUGCGGGUUGUGAACCUCUUUCGCCAGUGAAGCAGGCCUGCCUCGUUUGUGGGUGGGUUGACGGUAGCUGGAUAAGAAGCGCCGGCUAACUACGUG
Molecule: ribosomal RNA, 494 nt
Filed under: uncultured bacterium
Lineage: Bacteria
Description: partial 16S ribosomal RNA
Rfam family: Bacterial small subunit ribosomal RNA
Source: RNAcentral